ACAUCUAAGACACUGGUGAGGACUGGGCCAAAAUGCAGAUCCAGCCUAGGUUCCUCCACCUGAGUAAUCCGGUCUCAAGUUACGACUGCUGAUGGAUCACAGCGACGUGUUCUGACCUCUCUCCUCACUCCCCAGCAUCAGCUCACCAAGAGGGCCUGAGAUAAUACUCUCCCAUAAUGGUUCCAGUAUCAGAGCUAAGCAAGAAGAAGCAAGGUACUGUUUAAUUUAAGGGGUAAAACCAUGACUGGAAAGCAUGGGGACCAUGCACACCAAUGCAGCUGGUUACAAGACUAGCAGUGGUUCACCUCCCAGUCACAAGCUACCAGAGGCUGGAGAAACACCACGUGAAGUGUUCCUGUUCUGGCUUUUCCUUUGUCCUCUUUGAAGCCCUGAGAACCAACCAAUGAGAGGCACAGCCUGGUUUGCUACCAUGCAACUGUCCUCAUUAAUGUUCUUCAAGCCCUGAUGUACCCGGACCACCAUCGUUGGCAAGUUCUUGUUACCCAGUUCCUGCUGACAACCAGGGAACAGGCACAAGUCAGCUGAGAAAAUGAACCACUAGAAGGCUGGGAUCACAUCUGGAUUUGAGACUAAGCAACUUUCAUGCAAAUAUGCCACCAAAAUAUGAAUACUGUGCCAGGUUCUUCUAAGUGAUACAGAGCUUUUGAACACAAAGUCACCAUUUUUGCACAUUUGCACUGCCCUGAAAACUUAUGAGCACCCUUCUCUAUUGGCUUCAAUCAACGUUUAUUCUUGAGUCUAAUGGAAAUGAUGGAAAUUAUUCUGCUGACUCCAACAAACUCAACUUUCUAGCCAGUACAUCAGAUUUACUGGUGCCAUCCCACUAUCAAAAUGGUGAAUUUUAUAAACAUACCAGGGAGGAUAAGUGCCCAGGAGAAAAGAUGUCAGAGAGGGAUCCAGAAAUGACAGUCUACUUGUAACAGAAAUAAAACAAAGAA
Calypte anna (Anna's hummingbird) is the source of this 959-nucleotide long non-coding RNA. RefSeq lists it as uncharacterized. The record is from RefSeq and is a predicted model, not a curated record. Lineage: Eukaryota; Metazoa; Chordata; Aves; Apodiformes; Trochilidae. The transcript is spliced from 8 exons.